GUGGAUUAGAUACCCUGGUAGUCCACGCUGUAAACGAUGGAUACUAGGUGUAGGCGGUCAUUUACCCCGUCUGUGCCGAAGCUAACGCGUUAAGUAUCCCGCCUGGGGAGUACGGCCGCAAGGUUAAAACUCAAACGGAAUUGACGGGGGCCCGCACAAGCAGCGGAGCGUGUGGUUUAAUUCGAUGAUACGCGAAGAACCUUACCUGGGUUUGACAUGUUGGUAGUAGUGAAGCGAAAGCGGAACGACCCUUCGGGGAGCCAUCACAGGUGCUGCACGGUCGUCGUCAACU
Molecule: ribosomal RNA, 292 nt
Filed under: uncultured bacterium
Lineage: Bacteria
Description: partial 16S ribosomal RNA
Rfam family: Bacterial small subunit ribosomal RNA
Source: RNAcentral